RNAcentral lists this ribosomal RNA (463 nucleotides) under uncultured bacterium. RNAcentral describes it as "partial 16S ribosomal RNA". It matches the Rfam family "Bacterial small subunit ribosomal RNA", at positions 28 to 507 of the family's 1533-position model. The record is from RNAcentral.
GAUGAACGCUGACCGAAUGCUUAACACAUGCAAGUCGAUGGGGAAGUGGUGCUUGCCCCAUGGCAACCAUGGCGGACGGGUGAGUAACGCGUAAGGGACUUACCUGCAGGACUGGGAUAACAGGGGGAAACUCCUGACAAGACCGGAUAAUGUCAUGGAGCUGCAUGGCUUUAUGAUGAAAGGAGACGCCUGCGGAGAGCCUUGCGUCCUAUUAGCUAGUUGGUGAGGUAAUGGCUCACCAAGGCGAAGAUAGGUAGCCGGCCUGAGAGGGUGGACGGCCACAAGGGGACUGAGAUACGGCCCUUACUCCUACGGGAGGCAGCAGUGGGGAAUAUUGGACAAUGGGGGCAACCCUGAUCCAGCAAUUCUGUGUGCACGAAGAAGGUUUUCGGAUUGUAAAGUGCUUUCAGCAGGGAAGAAGUAAGUGACGGUACCUGCAGAAGAAGCGACGGCUAAAUACGUG